This 492-nucleotide ribosomal RNA is filed under the name uncultured bacterium. RNAcentral describes it as "partial 16S ribosomal RNA". It matches the Rfam family "Bacterial small subunit ribosomal RNA", at positions 29 to 507 of the family's 1533-position model. The record is from RNAcentral.
AGUGAACGCUGGCGGUAGGCCUAACACAUGCAAGUCGAACGGCAGCACAGUAAGAGCUUGCUCUUACGGGUGGCGAGUGGCGGACGGGUGAGGAAUACAUCGGAAUCUACUUUUUCGUGGGGGAUAACGUAGGGAAACUUACGCUAAUACCGCAUACGACCUACGGGUGAAAGCAGGGGAUCUUCGGACCUUGCGCGAUUGAAUGAGCCGAUGUCGGAUUAGCUAGUUGGCGGGGUAAAGGCCCACCAAGGCGACGAUCCGUAGCUGGUCUGAGAGGAUGAUCAGCCACACUGGAACUGAGACACGGUCCAGACUCCUACGGGAGGCAGCAGUGGGGAAUAUUGGACAAUGGGCGCAAGCCUGAUCCAGCCAUACCGCGUGGGUGAAGAAGGCCUUCGGGUUGUAAAGCCCUUUUGUUGGGAAAGAUAAGCAGCAGGUUAAUACCCCGCUGUUCUGACGGUACCCAGAGAAUAAGCACCGGCUAACUUCGUG